ACUCCUACGGGGGCAGCAGUGGGGAAUUUUGCGCAAUGGGGGAAACCCUGACGCAGCAACGCCGCGUGGGUGACGAAGGCCUUCGGGUCGUAAAGCUCUGUCUGGAGGGAAGAAAUGAUUGGGAGCUAAUACCUCUUGAUCUUGACGGUACCUCUGAAGGAAGCACCGGCUAACUCCGUGCCAGCAGCCGCGGUAAU
This 197-nucleotide ribosomal RNA is filed under the name uncultured bacterium. RNAcentral's name for it is "partial 16S ribosomal RNA". It matches the Rfam family "Bacterial small subunit ribosomal RNA", at positions 335 to 524 of the family's 1533-position model. The record is from RNAcentral.